Molecule: non-coding RNA, 73 nt
Organism: Camelus ferus (Wild Bactrian camel)
Lineage: Eukaryota; Metazoa; Chordata; Mammalia; Artiodactyla; Camelidae
Source: Rfam
GGAGGGGAGAGCUCAGUGGUAGGGUGCAUGUCUAGCAUGCACGAGGUCCUGGGUUCAAUCCCCAGUGCCUCCA